Molecule: ribosomal RNA, 254 nt
Filed under: uncultured bacterium
Lineage: Bacteria
Description: partial 16S ribosomal RNA
Rfam family: Bacterial small subunit ribosomal RNA
Source: RNAcentral
UACGAAGGGGGCUAGCGUUGCUCGGAAUCACUGGGCGUAAAGGGUGCGUAGGCGGGUCUUUUAAGUCAGGGGUGAAAUCCUGGAGCUCAACUCCAGAACUGCCUUUGAUACUGAGGAUCCUGAGUUCGGGAGAGGUGAGUGGAACUGCGAGUGUAGAGGUGAAAUUCGUAGAUAUUCGCAAGAACACCAGUGGCGAAGGCGGCUCACUGGCCCGAUACUGACGCUGAGGCACGAAAGCGUGGGGAGCAAACAGG